This 65-nucleotide transfer RNA is filed under the name Dipodomys ordii (Ord's kangaroo rat). It matches the Rfam family "tRNA". Rfam says of the family: Transfer RNA (tRNA) molecules are approximately 80 nucleotides in length. Their secondary structure includes four short double-helical elements and three loops (D, anti-codon, and T loops). The record is from Rfam by way of RNAcentral. Lineage: Eukaryota; Metazoa; Chordata; Mammalia; Rodentia; Heteromyidae.
GGUGGCUCAGGGGUAGAGUGCUUGCCUUGCAUGCAUAAGGCCCUGAGUUCGAUUCCUCAGCACCA